CAGCCGCCACGGUAAUACAGAGGGUGCGAGCGUUAAUCGGAUUUACUGGGCGUAAAGCGUGCGUAGGCGGCUUCUUAAGUCGGAUGUGAAAUCCCUGAGCUUAACUUAGGAAUUGCAUUCGAUACUGGGAAGCUAGAGUAUGGGAGAGGAUGGUAGAAUUCCAGGUGUAGCGAUGAAAUGCGUAGAGAUCUGGAGGAAUACCGAUGGCGAAGGCAGCCAUCUGGCCUAAUACUGACGCUGAGGUACGAAAGCAUGGGGAGCAAACAGGAUUAGAUACCCCCGUAGUCCCUGUCUCUUAUAC
This 301-nucleotide ribosomal RNA is filed under the name uncultured bacterium. Its description in RNAcentral is "partial 16S ribosomal RNA". It matches the Rfam family "Bacterial small subunit ribosomal RNA", at positions 509 to 807 of the family's 1533-position model. The record is from RNAcentral.